GAGUUUGAUCGUGGCUCAGAACGAACGCUGGCGGCAUGCCUAACACAUGCAAGUCGAACGGGAUCCAGGCUUCGGCCUGGUGAGAGUGGCGGACGGGUGAGUGACGCGUGGGAACCUGCCCAAUGGUCUGGGAUAACCGCGGGAAACUGCGGCUAAUACCGGAUAAGCCCGAGAGGGGAAAGAUUUAUCGCCGAUGGAGGGGCCCGCGUCCGAUUAGGUAGUUGGUGAGGUAACGGCUCACCAAGCCGACGAUCGGUAGCUGGUCUGAGAGGAUGAUCAGCCACACUGGGACUGAGAUACGGCCCAGACUCCUACGGGAGGCAGCAGUGGGGAAUAUUGGACAAUGGGGGCAACCCUGAUCCAGCAAUGCCGCGUGAGUGAUGAAGGCCUUAGGGUUGUAAAGCUCUUUUGGCGGGGACGAUGAUGACGGUACCCGCAGAAUAAGCCCCGGCUAACUUCGUGCCAGCAGCCGCUGU
This 476-nucleotide ribosomal RNA is filed under the name uncultured Alphaproteobacteria bacterium. RNAcentral describes it as "bacterial SSU rRNA". It matches the Rfam family "Bacterial small subunit ribosomal RNA", at positions 9 to 521 of the family's 1533-position model. Lineage: Bacteria; Pseudomonadati; Pseudomonadota; Alphaproteobacteria. The record is from RNAcentral.